UACGGAGGGGGCUAGCGUUGUGCGGAAUGACUGGGCGUAAAGAGCGCGUAGGCGGCUUACCAAGUUGGGGGUGAAAGCCCGGAGCUCAACUCCGGAACUGCCUUCGAAACUGGUAGGCUCGAGUCCGGGAGAGGGGCGUGGAAUUCCCAGUGUAGAGGUGAAAUUCGUAGAUAUUGGGAAGAACACCGGUGGCGAAGGGGGCGCCCUGGCCCGGUAAUGACCUUGAGGCGCGAAAGCGUGGGGAGCAAACAGG
This 253-nucleotide ribosomal RNA is filed under the name uncultured bacterium. RNAcentral's name for it is "partial 16S ribosomal RNA". It matches the Rfam family "Bacterial small subunit ribosomal RNA", at positions 524 to 776 of the family's 1533-position model. The record is from RNAcentral.